GUUUUGAGUCAGGAACAUGGAUGAUUAAUUUGAGAGCUUUCCUCCUUGCUAAUUUUUUGCUUCAUCCGUUUUUGUGGCUCUUUUGUUUAGUGCACACACAUUUAAGAUUGCUAUGGCUUCUUUGUGGAUUGACCUUUUUUUCAUUAUAUAAUGUCCC
RNAcentral lists this long non-coding RNA (157 nucleotides) under Callithrix jacchus (white-tufted-ear marmoset). RNAcentral describes it as "lncRNA (ENSCJAG00000062325.2)". The record is from RNAcentral. Lineage: Eukaryota; Metazoa; Chordata; Mammalia; Primates; Cebidae.